Balaenoptera musculus (blue whale) is the source of this 134-nucleotide small nuclear RNA. The record is from Ensembl. Lineage: Eukaryota; Metazoa; Chordata; Mammalia; Artiodactyla; Balaenopteridae.
AAAAAGGGCUUCUGUCGUGAGUGACACACGUGGGGCAGCUCGUUUGUUCUUCGUGCGGAAUCGACAUCAAGAGAUUUCGGAAGCAUAAUUUUUUGACUACCGGGCAGCUGGUGAUCGUUGGUCCUGGCGCCCCU